GAUGAACGCUGGCGGCGUGCCUAAUACAUGCAAGUCGAGCGAACAGACGAGGCGCUUGCUCCUCUGACGUUAGCGGCGGACGGGUGAGUAACACGUGGAUAACCUACCUAUAAGACUGGGAUAACUUCGGGAAACCGGAGCUAAUCCCGGAUAAUCUAUUGAACCGCAUGGUUCAAUAGUGAAAGACGGUUUUGCUGUCACUUAUAGAUGGAUCCGCGCCGCAUUAGCUAGUUGGUAAGGUAACGGCUUACCAAGGCAACGAUGCGUAGCCGACCUGAGAGGGUGGUCGGCCACACGGGAACUGAGACACGGUCCAGACGACUACGGGAGGCAGCAGUAGGGAAUCUUCCGCAAUGGGCGAAAGCCUGACGGAGCAACGCCGCGUGAGUGAUGAAGGUCUUCGGAUCGUAAAACUCUGUUAUUAGGGAAGAACAAAUGUGUAAGUAACUAUGCACGUCGUGACGGUACCUAAUCAGAAAGCCACGGCUAACUACGUG
This 497-nucleotide ribosomal RNA is filed under the name uncultured bacterium. RNAcentral describes it as "partial 16S ribosomal RNA". It matches the Rfam family "Bacterial small subunit ribosomal RNA", at positions 28 to 507 of the family's 1533-position model. The record is from RNAcentral.